This 473-nucleotide ribosomal RNA is filed under the name uncultured bacterium. Its description in RNAcentral is "bacterial SSU rRNA". It matches the Rfam family "Bacterial small subunit ribosomal RNA", at positions 38 to 507 of the family's 1533-position model. The record is from RNAcentral.
GGCGGCAGGCUUAACACAUGCAAGUCGAGCGGUAGCAGAUCUAGCUUGCUAGAUGCUGACGAGCGGCGGACGGGUGAGUAACGCGUAGGAACCUGCCCAGUAGUGGGGGAUAGCCCGGGGAAACUCGGAUUAAUACCGCAUACGCUCUACGGAGGAAAGAGGGGCUUCGGCUCUCGCUAUUGGAUGGGCCUGCGUGAGAUUAGCUAGUUGGUGAGGUAAUGGCUCACCAAGGCGACGAUCUCUAGCUGGUCUGAGAGGAUGAUCAGCCACACUGGGACUGAGACACGGCCCAGACUCCUACGGGAGGCAGCAGUGGGGAAUAUUGCACAAUGGGCGCAAGCCUGAUGCAGCCAUGCCGCGUGUGUGAAGAAGGCUUUCGGGUUGUAAAGCACUUUCAGUGGGGAGGAUGGCCUCGUAGUUAAUAGCUGCGAGGAUUGACGUUACCCACAGAAGAAGCACCGGCUAACUCCGUG